Molecule: transfer RNA, 82 nt
Filed under: Dallia pectoralis (Alaska blackfish)
Lineage: Eukaryota; Metazoa; Chordata; Actinopteri; Esociformes; Umbridae
Description: tRNA-Leu
Rfam family: tRNA
About the family: Transfer RNA (tRNA) molecules are approximately 80 nucleotides in length.
Source: RNAcentral
GGUAGUUUGGCCGAGCGGUCUAAGGCGCUGGAUUUAGGCUCCAGUCUCUUCGGAGGCGUGGGUUCAAAUCCAACCACUGCCA